This 73-nucleotide transfer RNA is filed under the name Paramuricea clavata. It matches the Rfam family "tRNA". Rfam says of the family: Transfer RNA (tRNA) molecules are approximately 80 nucleotides in length. Their secondary structure includes four short double-helical elements and three loops (D, anti-codon, and T loops). The record is from Rfam by way of RNAcentral. Lineage: Eukaryota; Metazoa; Cnidaria; Anthozoa; Malacalcyonacea; Plexauridae.
GACCGCGUAGCUCAGUUGGAAGAGCAUUGGGCUAGCAUUCCAAAGGUCGUAGGUUCGAAUCCGACCGUGGCCG